AAAUUGAAGAGUUUGAUCAUGGCUCAGAUUGAACGCUGGCGGCAGGCCUAACACAUGCAAGUCGAGCGGAAACGAGUUAUCUGAACCUUCGGGGAACGGUAACGGCGUCGAGCGGCGGACGGGUGAGUAAUGCCUAGGAAAUUGCCCUGAUGUGGGGGAUAACCAUUGGAAACGAUGGCUAAUACCGCAUGA
RNAcentral lists this ribosomal RNA (192 nucleotides) under Vibrio alginolyticus. RNAcentral's name for it is "partial 16S ribosomal RNA". It matches the Rfam family "Bacterial small subunit ribosomal RNA", at positions 1 to 176 of the family's 1533-position model. Lineage: Bacteria; Pseudomonadati; Pseudomonadota; Gammaproteobacteria; Vibrionales; Vibrionaceae. The record is from RNAcentral.